CAGCCGCCGCGGGAAUACGGAGGGUGCAAGCGUUAAUCGGAAUUACUGGGCGUAAAGCGCACGCAGGCGGUUUGUUAAGUCAGAUGUGAAAUCCCCGAGCUUAACUUGGGAACUGCAUUUGAAACUGGCAAGCUAGAGUCUUGUAGAGGGGGGUAGAAUUCCAGGUGUAGCGGUGAAAUGCGUAGAGACCUGGAGGAAUACCGGUGGCGAAGGCGGCCCCCUGGACAAAGACUGACGCUCAGGUGCGAAAGCGUGGGGAGCAAACAGGAUUAGAUACCCCUGUAGUCCCUGUCUCUUAUAC
This 301-nucleotide ribosomal RNA is filed under the name uncultured bacterium. RNAcentral describes it as "partial 16S ribosomal RNA". It matches the Rfam family "Bacterial small subunit ribosomal RNA", at positions 509 to 807 of the family's 1533-position model. The record is from RNAcentral.